UACGUAGGUGGCAAGCGUUGUCCGGAUUUAUUGGGUUUAAAGGGUGCGUAGGCGGCUUUGUAAGUCAGUGGUGAAAUAUGGCAGCUCAACUGUCAAGGUGCCAUUGAUACUGCGAGGCUUGAGUACAGAUGAGGUAGGCGGAAUUGACGGUGUAGCGGUGAAAUGCUUAGAUAUAGUCAAGAACACCUAUAGCGAAGGCAGCUUACUAGGCUGUAACUGACGCUGAGGCACGAAAGUGUGGGGAUCAAACAGG
This 253-nucleotide ribosomal RNA is filed under the name uncultured bacterium. Its description in RNAcentral is "partial 16S ribosomal RNA". It matches the Rfam family "Bacterial small subunit ribosomal RNA", at positions 524 to 776 of the family's 1533-position model. The record is from RNAcentral.